RNAcentral lists this ribosomal RNA (237 nucleotides) under uncultured bacterium. RNAcentral describes it as "partial 16S ribosomal RNA". It matches the Rfam family "Bacterial small subunit ribosomal RNA", at positions 100 to 334 of the family's 1533-position model. The record is from RNAcentral.
CGGCACGGGUGAGUAACGCGUAUGCAACUUACCUAUCAGAGGGGGAUAACCCGGCGAAAGUCGGACUAAUACCGCAUGAAGCAGGGGCCCCGCAUGGGGAUAUUUGCUAAAGAUUCAUCGCUGAUAGAUAGGCAUGCGUUCCAUUAGGCAGUUGGCGGGGUAACGGCCCACCAAGCCGACGAUGGAUAGGGGUUCUGAGAGGAAGGUCCCCCACAUUGGUACUGAGACACGGACCAA